Molecule: small nuclear RNA, 107 nt
Organism: Pipistrellus kuhlii (Kuhl's pipistrelle)
Lineage: Eukaryota; Metazoa; Chordata; Mammalia; Chiroptera; Vespertilionidae
Source: RefSeq, a predicted model, not a curated record
GUGCUCAUUUUGGCAGCACAUAUACUAAAAUUGAAGUGAUAUGGAAAAGAUUAGCAUGGCCCCUGCUCAAGGAUGACAUGCAAAUUCAUGAAGUGUUCUAUAUUUUA